AACGAACGUUAGCGGCGCGCUUAACACAUGCAAGUCGAACGAGAAAGGGCUUCGGCCCCGGUAAAGUGGCGCACGGGUGAGUAACACGUGGGUAACCUUCCCUUGAGCGGGGGAUAACAU
RNAcentral lists this ribosomal RNA (120 nucleotides) under uncultured bacterium. Its description in RNAcentral is "partial 16S ribosomal RNA". It matches the Rfam family "Bacterial small subunit ribosomal RNA", at positions 29 to 149 of the family's 1533-position model. The record is from RNAcentral.